AGCGGCGGAUGGGUGAGUAACACGUGGGGAACCUGCCCCUAAGUCUGAGAUACCAUUUGGAAACAGGUGCUAAUACCGGAUAAUAAAGCAGAUCGCAUGAUCAGCUUUUGAAAGGCGGCGUAAGCUGUCGCUAAGGGAUGGCCCCGCGGUGCAUUAGCUAGUUGGUAAGGUAACGGCUUACCAAGGCGACGAUGCAUAGCCGAGUUGAGAGACUGAUCGGCCACAUUGGGACUGAGACACGGCCCAAACUCCUACGGGAGGCAGCAGUAGGGAAUCUUCCACAAUGGACGCAAGUCUGAUGGAGCAACGCCGCGUGAGUGAAGAAGGUUUUCGGAUCGUAAAGCUCUGUUGUUGGUGAAGAAGGAUAGAGGUAGUAACUGGCCUUUAUUUGACGGUAAUCAACCAGAAAGUCACGGCUAACUACGUGCCAGCAGCCGCGGUAAUACGUAGGUGGCAAGCGUCGUCCGGAUUUAUUGGGCGUAAAGCGAGCGCAGGCGGAAAAAUAAGUCUAAUGUGAAAGCCCUCGGCUUAACCGAGGAACUGCAUCGGAAACUGUUUUUCUUGAGUGCAGAAGAGGAGAGUGGAACUCCAUGUGUAGCGGUGGAAUGCGUAGAUAUAUGGAAGAACACCAGUGGCGAAGGCGGCUCUCUGGUCUGCAACUGACGCUGAGGCUCGAAAGCAUGGGUAGCGAACAGGAUUAGAUACCCUGGUAGUCCAUGCCGUAAACGAUGAGUGCUAAGUGU
This 743-nucleotide ribosomal RNA is filed under the name uncultured bacterium. RNAcentral describes it as "bacterial SSU rRNA". It matches the Rfam family "Bacterial small subunit ribosomal RNA", at positions 94 to 823 of the family's 1533-position model. The record is from RNAcentral.